CAUCGAACGAUCGUGCUUCUUAUUUCGCCUUCACAAGAUGUCUCUACUUGUGGCAUGUUUUAAUGUAUUUUCAAUGUAAACAAAAAACAUGUUUCGUUAAUGUAAAUGUUAAUUCUAGAAAUGUUAAUCUUGAUCAAGAUGAAUCAGUUUGAUAUAUUAUCAUGCUUUACAUCACUAUUUACAAGAAAAUUUUGAUAAAAGCCACUUCGAUCAAACGCGAGUCAAGGGUCAUUCCUGGGUUUUGAUGAUUCCCAAUCCCGUUUUACAAUCAAACCUUUGGAAUGCUGUUUGUUGAGUCCAUCUCGGUCUGAAGUGAAAAUGUUUGUAAUAAAAAGUUUCUCAUAAUAAAUACGAUUCUCUAAACAAGAUAUGAUCAAGGCCAUGGAACGAAAAAAAAGCAUAAGCUCAUACAGAGGAGAGAAAAGAACUGGGAAAAGAAAAUGAAUGAGUUAGCCCAAGAAAAUAUGUUACCUGAGGAAGAUGGUAAAGCUGAUCAUAAUAACUUGUCUCUAUUUUUUUGUGCCAUCAUUAUUCAUUAGUCAACUCACGCAACUCUAUGUUUUAUCACAAAAAAAGGAGCUUCACCAUUUAACUAGCUAUCGCUUUUGACCGGCCAAAACUAACCUCAAUUAACUUUGGAAACACCAAUCUCGCGAACAGAUCAAACCUUUAACCUUAACCGCAAUAAUUUACCCUGUGUGAGGUCAAAAGCUACCUAUUACCCCAAUACCAUCCAGAAAACUAUUCAAUUGACAGGUUCUACUGAUAACAAAAUACUGAUAUGGAUCAACUAUACAAAGCACGUUCAAUCAUCCAAAAUAUCUAGUUAUUUUAUCAUUUUAAUGAAAUUUAUUUCACAGAUUAGCAAAUAUCAGGGACUAUUCCUAACAUGGAUACGAAAAAAACUAGGAAAUUGUGAAAUAUUGUCGUCAACAUUUCCAGCUUCCGUCUACCUAAUCGGAUUAACCUGUUAUAAUUGAUGAUUUAUUACUCCUUCUCAAGGAAAAUUGAAAAAUUAAAUCUCUGGUGCUAACCAAAUGCUGAAUUGAAAUCAAUUGAUCGUCCAUAACUCUCAAUACAACUUGAAAAUAACUGCAAUUAUCUAAACUGUUACAUUCCUUGGAUUGUUACAUUGAUUUUACCAGUUGUCAGACGUUUCUUGAUUCGGGAAAACCUAAAUUUUCCUGUAAUUGUAUUCAAUACGAUGAGCGUGUUUGAUAAUACUUUUAACCAAAUAUUUGGCAUUAUUUUCAAGUAAUUUGUCUGGUCAGUGUAAUUAACCUAAUCAAGCUCUUAUAUUAACACCACAACCUUGGUAAUUUAGCUAUUGUUUAUCCAACUUGUAUCCAUUUUAAACAUUAGUUACGAGAGAGUCAAGUUGAUUGUAAACAAAUUCAAUUCCAACAGGUUGUACCACCAUGAUGAUCAUAAUCAUUAUCAUCUGAAUGAAGGACAAUCGACUGAUUUGGUAAAUUUAUAUAUCUAUGUAUAUUAACGUUAAUAAGGUAUGUUUAAAUUACAGAGGGAAAUUACAAGCAGACAAAUUGUUGGAAGUAAAUACGCUUUUGUAUCAAAAUCAAUCUUUUUGUGAUUAAAAAUAUCAUUCUAAUGGG
Molecule: non-coding RNA, 1613 nt
Organism: Tetranychus urticae (two-spotted spider mite)
Lineage: Eukaryota; Metazoa; Arthropoda; Arachnida; Trombidiformes; Tetranychidae
Source: RefSeq, a predicted model, not a curated record